GGAGCUCAUUAUGUGAAAUAGGGUAAUGGGUUCGAACCCAAUUGUCUAGGGACCUAAUAACCCAAACUCUCUUUAUUAAACCCUCCAUAUAAAAGCCCAGAACCUCUCUCGUUCUCAUUAGGGCUGAGUUAGAGAGAAGAGAAUAGGCAAGCAAGAUAUCUUAUUCAUCACAAAGGCAAGUGAUUUCUUGCUCAAACUUUGUUUUUAAAAUUCUAAGUUAUGGGUUUUGGAGAUCCCAUUCUCCUCCAUCUUUUGAUGUAAGCAAGUUUAUGAAUGUUUAGUUUUUAAUCAAGUUUUUAAUGUUUAGUUUUCUAUUUUCAUUGGAUUUCAUCUAGGGGAGGAUUUCUCUAAGAGAUGGAUCUCAAUCCGCCAUCUUCUUUUAAGGAGAAGUACCUAUUGUUGUAAUGUAAUAAUAACUUUGCAAAUCCAAGUCUUUGAUCCAUGUUUUGAUGUGAUUUUUCUGUUUGUUUUGAUUAGAUCUUGCUCUCUGUGAUCUCUGCUAUGUUUUAAAUCAUUAGGAUUGUCCCAAUUUUUGGUUGGAAUGACAUCUCGAGAGCUUUAAUGGUGAUUUUUGACAUGCUUGGUUAUUUGAUGUGAAACUUUUUGGAAUAGACUCUCCUUAGCAGUAGAAAACUUGGGUCGGAUUUACUUUUUGAUUUGGUUUUGUAUCGAUAAAGUUUUAGAUCAAAUUAGUUGAAACAAACGGGUAUUUCAUUAAAAGAGGGUUUUUACAAUUACAUUCAUUGGAAAUAUUUUGUGAGAUGUUCUAUAUUCCAAUGAUGCUUAAAGGCCCUCCCAUCAUGGCCCUGUAAUAACUAGUAUAUUCCCGGACAUGCUUCCUUGAGAAUAGAGUAAGGGCCCUCCCAGCUAGCGACGAGCUUGUCAUUACGAUUUUUUUUUAAAGUGGCUUAUUGGAGGACUAAAUCUCCAAUUUUUGAACCUUCGGGAUCGGACUCGGUUAUUAUAAUGUCAGGCAAUGCUUUGUUGAUUGAAGACUUGCAAGCAGAGCAUUUGUUCCCUGAAUUCAUCGACGAGGUCGAGUUUGUUCUGUAGGGCGGCUUCGUUGGGUUUCUUCAUUAAAGUGUUGUAGGCGUAGAGUAGGCAUGAGACUAAUGCUUAUAUCACCAACCCUGAUGAAUCCAAUCGUAGAGACAUGGGCGGAUCUUUUUACAUCUUAGGUAUUGAACCUAGACCGAAAGUCAUUAUGACUAUGACUUCCGCACUUUCUCCCAUUGUUGAGCAAAAAUAUCUCCCCCCUCAUGGCUAACCCAAUAGGGAAGGCAAUUUUUGCCCAUACCUAUUUACCCACCUAGCCCGACCAUCAGUAGGCCCGCCCAAAACCCACCCAUUUAGUUAAAUAGGCCUAAUCGGGUGGGUUUAUUUUAAACCAUUCUAAAUGGGCAGUGAACGGGCGGUGCUUAUUUACUCGUUUGCCUGCCCGAUCCCCAAAACCAAAACCCGAAGGCCGAACCCCUAAAUGUCUAAAUCUCUCUCUUUUUCUCGGCGACUGAGCUCCUCAUCAUCCCGACCCCGCCUCCUCCUCCUCUACCUCCUCCUCCGCUGCCUCAACCGCCUCUCGAACCCAGAGCCUCCGACGUCGCCUCGGCUUUACCUUUUCCGUUGAAAUCAUCGCCACGCCCAUCGCCGGUGUGUCCUACGUCAGCACGCCGGUCCCAGAGAUCUCUCAAAAGGAAUUCCAAAGCUCUCGACUCAAAGUCUUCGAUUGAGAUCUUAAAAGGAAACAGGGUUCAUGAGGUGUUACAAUCAAGAAAACUAAUCUUGCUUUGAUCUUCGGCAUUUAUGAUGAGCCAAUGACUCUUGGGCAGUGCAAUAUGAUUGUUGAGAGGCUUGGUGAUUAUCUCAAUGUGUAGGGAUUUUAGGUUUGUUGUGUUUCCUUUUUCUAUUCGAGUUUGGUGUGGUCUCUCGCAUUGCAAUGCUUGAAAUGAAUAAUUGUCAGUUCAGCAAUUAUGUGGACUCUCGUGAGGGGUUUGAUGUUUGGUUAAUGUGUUUGUUAUGAU
Long non-coding RNA from Asparagus officinalis (garden asparagus), 2018 nucleotides. RefSeq lists it as uncharacterized. Lineage: Eukaryota; Viridiplantae; Streptophyta; Magnoliopsida; Asparagales; Asparagaceae. The record is from RefSeq and is a predicted model, not a curated record. The transcript has 3 exons.